CCUCCGACGCCUCCCCGCCAUCCUCUGCAGAGCCCAACUUUGCAUCACGCAGCAGCCUCCUGCCUAACGCCUGGGCUGAAGGGGAGGGGGAAAAUGUGCAACUCAUCUUCUCACAGAGAGCCUCUUCCUCCAGGAGUGGAGAGCAAAGGAGAACGGCUUUAAUGGCUGCCGAUGGAUACAGGCACCACAGCCCAGCUCCAGCAGCAGAAAGCUAUCAUGCUGGAAUUCAUAAACAGAAAAGCUGUAUGUGAGACACAUGCCCUGCUACCACAGCCUCGGCUGGAGUCCUGCAUCCAAGUUUGGGCACUGCUCAUCAAGGACGUCAGGCCCCAGCUGGAGAGAGCCCAGAGGGCAGCAAAAGGAGUGACCAGAGACGUAGAAAACAGCCUCUGAGGAGAGGUGGAGGAAAACAGUCAACUCAUGGAACCAGAAGGCAGAGCAGAGAUGGGGUAACAGUUUUCCAUUCAUAAAAGACUUCUGUAGAAGA
Long non-coding RNA from Vidua chalybeata, 487 nucleotides. RefSeq lists it as uncharacterized. The transcript has 2 exons. NCBI's taxonomy places the organism in Eukaryota, Metazoa, Chordata, Aves, Passeriformes, Viduidae. The record is from RefSeq and is a predicted model, not a curated record.